RNAcentral lists this ribosomal RNA (547 nucleotides) under uncultured bacterium. RNAcentral describes it as "bacterial SSU rRNA". It matches the Rfam family "Bacterial small subunit ribosomal RNA", at positions 358 to 916 of the family's 1533-position model. The record is from RNAcentral.
GGAAUAUUGGGCAAUGGAGGGAACUCUGACCCAGCGACGCCGCGUGCGGGAUGAAGGCCUUCGGGUUGUAAACCGCUUUCAGCAGGGAAGAAGCGAAAGUGACGGUACCUGCAGAAGAAGCACCGGCUAACUAUGUGCCAGCAGCCGCGGUAAUACAUAGGGUGCAAGCGUUGUCCGGAAUUAUUGGGCGUAAAGAGCUCGUAGGUGGUUCGCCACGUCGGAUGUGAAAAUCUGGGGCUCAACCCCAGACCUGCAUUCGAUACGGGCGAGCUAGAGUGUGGUAGGGGAGACUGGAAUUCCUGGUGUAGCGGUGGAAUGCGCAGAUAUCAGGAGGAACACCAAUGGCGAAGGCAGGUCUCUGGGCCAUUACUGACACUGAGGAGCGAAAGCGUGGGGAGCGAACAGGAUUAGAUACCCUGGUAGUCCACGCCGUAAACGAUGGGCACUAGUUGUGGGAACCUUCCACGGUUUCUGCGACGCAGCUAACGCAUUAAGUGCCCCGCCUGGGGAGUACGAUCGCAAGAUUAAAACUCAAAGGAAUUGACGG